This is a long non-coding RNA of Vigna unguiculata (cowpea), 1423 nucleotides long. The record is from RefSeq and is a predicted model, not a curated record. Lineage: Eukaryota; Viridiplantae; Streptophyta; Magnoliopsida; Fabales; Fabaceae.
AAACAACACCACUACGAACAAGUCCUGCACCAGAGACAACUCCAGAACCCACCAUUCCAACACCGGAACCAACCACCGAUGCUGCUCCAUCUAUGGCAUCCAUUUUUCCAAUAUGGCCGACGUCCCUGCCACAGAUCCAUACAUGAUUGGUGCUUAACAGUCACUUGCUAGAGCUUGAAGAUAAGUCUAAAAUGAAGGCAAAUAAAAGUUGAAGAUAACAAAGUGUCUCUUCAGACAAGACUCAGUGGUUUAAUCAGUGCAGAAGUCCUGGAUCCAUACUUCAUGCUGAAGUCUACUAUUUUGGCCAUGCAGACAUUUGACUGAUAAGGUUGUAACUGAUAACGCAGAGAUAACAGUAUCCUGAGUUUUUGGCCAAGGUUUACUAUUUUAACUUUUCCCAUCACACCCCAUUCAUAACAUCAGGUAAGAGAUAUCAGUGAUGCAUCACACAAAGGUAUAUACUUGGACUUCAGAAAACAAUGGAUCUUCACAAUUACAGAGCAAGAUACUAUUAUUCCAAAAUUAGUACUCCUCUCCUCUCCAAUAAUGGAAGUCCUGUAUUUUUAGCAUUCCUCAAUGCAGAAUUCAUAAAGGCAAAGAAAACAUGAUGUCACAUACAAAAACACAUGAAAUGAUAAGUCACGUGUUAAAAGAAAACCAUUUCUUUUAAAUGGUUUCAGAAAACUCCAAGUUAAGCAGCAUAGACAAAAUGGCCAUCAUUAGUCCCACCCAGAAUUUUUUUCAUAUCCCUGAAUCUUUACCAAUUAAUAGUCCUAAAUCACUUGACAAGUUGACAUUUUAGGACUACAAAUCAACAGGAGCAAACACGAGUCUGUGUAAAGUAGAAGGUAAAUCAAGGCUUUGGAAUGCAAAAGGCUUUCACUGUUUUAGAGGGACACAAUCUUGGAGUUGAUCAUUCACAUGACAGAAAAAUUCCUAGGCAUUGGGCUCAAUAGUACCUCGUUCUUAGUGAAAGGUAGAUCAAUUCUAAAUACUUAAUAGAGAGAGAAAGAGAGUGAGACAAACCUACAUACUAUUAACUUUGUUUUCCAUUUGAGCUUUCACAAAUGUAAACAUUGGUGAACUUAAUGGUAAAAAUGGUUAGUGUUAGAAGUGGGUUUUAAGCCUAACUUAACCCUACAAAACCGGCUUGUAAGGUGGGAUUUGCACCUCACUUAUAUAUUAUGAAUUGGCCUUAUCUCUAGUCGAUGUGGGACUCCCAACACACUCCCUCACGCCGACGUAUAUUCAUCUCAUGUGUGGGACAAGAAAUUAGUGGGUGGUUCGUUAACGGCCCGAUAUCGGGUGGAACAAAAUGUCCAAGAAAUUUCGCUAGGAUAGACUCUAACCUGGCUCUAAUACCAUGUUAGAAGUGGGCUUUAAGCCUAACUUAAUAUACCUCAACGUGAGAGGGUGUGUUCAC